GCCAGACCUGACUGCUAUCGGAUUGAUACUAAGCCAUGCGAGUCAUUGUAGUAAUACAAGGCAUACGGCUCAGUAACGCGUAGUCAACCUAACCUAUGGACGGGAAUAACCUCGGGAAACUGAGUAUAAUUCCCGAUAGAACAUUAUGCCUGGAAUGGUUUAUGUUCCAAAUGAUUUAUCGCCGUAGGAUGGGACUGCGGCCUAUCAGUUUGUUGGUGAGGUAAUGGCCCACCAAGACUAUUACAGGUACGGGCUCUGAGAGGAGUAGCCCGGAGAUGGGUACUGAGACACGGACCCAGGCCCUAUGGGGCGCAGCAGGCGAGAAAACUUUGCAAUGUGCGAAAGCACGACAAGGUUAAUCCGAGUGGUUUCUGCUAAAGGAACCUUUUGUUAGUCCUAGAAACACUAACGAAUAAGGGGUGGGCAAGUUCUGGUGUCAGCCGCCGCGGUAAAACCAGCACCUCAAGUGGUCAGGAUGAUUAUUGGGCCUAAAGCAUCCGUAGCCGGCUCUGUAAGUUUUCGGUUAAAUCUGUACGCUCAACGUACAGGCUGCCGGGAAUACUGCAGAGCUAGGGAGUGGGAGAGGUAGACGGUACUCGGGAGGAAGGGGUAAAAUCCUUUGAUCUCUCGAUGACCACCUGUGGCGAAGGCGGUCUACCAGAACACGUCCGACGGUGAGGGAUGAAAGCUGGGGGAGCAAACCGGAUUAGAUACCCGGGUAGUCCCAGCUGUAAACUAUGCAAACUCAGUGAUGCAUUGACUUGUGGUCAAUGCAGUGCUGCAGGGAAGCCGUUAAGUUUGCCGCCUGGGAAGUACGUACGCAAGUAUGAAACUUAAAGGAAUUGGCGGGGGAGCACCACAAGGGGUGAAGCCUGCGGUUCAAUUGGAUUCAACGCCGGAA
RNAcentral lists this ribosomal RNA (901 nucleotides) under uncultured archaeon. RNAcentral's name for it is "bacterial SSU rRNA". It matches the Rfam family "Archaeal small subunit ribosomal RNA", at positions 16 to 923 of the family's 1478-position model. The record is from RNAcentral.